This 182-nucleotide non-coding RNA is filed under the name Erinaceus europaeus (western European hedgehog). Its description in RNAcentral is "Eukaryotic large subunit ribosomal RNA". It matches the Rfam family "Eukaryotic large subunit ribosomal RNA", at positions 2621 to 2802 of the family's 3401-position model. The record is from Rfam by way of RNAcentral. Lineage: Eukaryota; Metazoa; Chordata; Mammalia; Eulipotyphla; Erinaceidae.
UUGACUGGGGCGGUACACCUGUCAAACAGUAAUGCAGUUGUCCUAAGGCGAGCUCAGGGAGGACAGAAACCUCCCGUGGAACAGAAGGGCAAAAGCUUGCUUGAUCCUGAUUUUCAGUACGAAUACAGACCGUGAAAGCGGGGCCUCACGAUCCUUCUGACCUUUGGGGUUUUAAGCAGAAG